AGUGCUAUAGCUGUACGUAUUUUAUGUGGGUCAAAUCACACGUCAUUUACACAUCGGAUUUUCGUAGCACAUGAGAAUAUCUCCAUUUGAAGCAGAAAGUUUUUCAGCAAAGUGGACCUUUGGUAUGUUUCCUUUACUAUGGCUUAACAUCUGUCCAAGGCAGUUCUAUUCAACUCUUUUAAUUUCACUAUAUUUUGCUUCCUAACUUCGUAAUUUAUAUAAUCUAUUUGACACCGUCUCAUUUUGUAUUCUAACACCUUAUGUAAAUAUGAUUAUUUCUCAUAACAUCCUAUUAAGCAUGCAAUGCUACCCAA
This is a long non-coding RNA of Xenia sp. Carnegie-2017, 314 nucleotides long. RefSeq lists it as uncharacterized. The record is from RefSeq and is a predicted model, not a curated record. NCBI's taxonomy places the organism in Eukaryota, Metazoa, Cnidaria, Anthozoa, Malacalcyonacea, Xeniidae. The transcript is spliced from 2 exons.